AGUUAUCUGAACCUUCGGGGGACGAUAACGGCGUCGAGCGGCGGACGGGUGAGUAAUGCCUAGGAAAUUGCCCUGAUGUGGGGGAUAACCAUUGGAAACGAUGGCUAAUACCGCAUGAUGCCUACGGGCCAAAGAGGGGGACCUUCGGGCCUCUCGCGUCAGGAUAUGCCUAGGUGGGAUUAGCUAGUUGGUGAGGUAAGGGCUCACCAAGGCGACGAUCCCUAGCUGGUCUGAGAGGAUGAUCAGCCACACUGGAACUGAGACACGGUCCAGACUCCUACGGGAGGCAGCAGUGGGGAAUAUUGCACAAUGGGCGCAAGCCUGAUGCAGCCAUGCCGCGUGUGUGAAGAAGGCCUUCGGGUUGUAAAGCACUUUCAGUCGUGAGGAAGGUAGUGUAGUUAAUAGCUGCAUUAUUUGACGUUAGCGACAGAAGAAGCACCGGCUAACUCCGUGCCAGCAGCCGCGGUAAUACGGAGGGUGCGAGCGUUAAUCGGAAUUACUGGGCGUAAAGCGCAUGCAGGUGGUUUGUUAAGUCAGAUGUGAAAGCCCGGGGCUCAACCUCGGAAUUGCAUUUGAAACUGGCAGACUAGAGUACUGUAGAGGGGGGUAGAAUUUCAGGUGUAGCGGUGAAAUGCGUAGAGAUCUGAAGGAAUACCGGUGGCGAAGGCGGCCCCCUGGACAGAUACUGACACUCAGAUGCGAAAGCGUGGGGAGCAAACAGGAUUAGAUACCCUGGUAGUCCACGCCGUAAACGAUGUCUACUUGGAGGUUGUGGCCUUGAGCCGUGGCUUUCGGAGCUAACGCGUUAAGUAGACCGCCUGGGGAGUACGGUCGCAAGAUUAAAACUCAAAUGAAUUGACGGGGGCCCGCACAAGCGGUGGAGCAUGUGGUUUAAUUCGAUGCAACGCGAAGAACCUUACCUACUCUUGACAUCCAGAGAACUUUCCAGAGAUGGAUUGGUGCCUUCGGGAACUCUGAGACAGGUGCUGCAUGGCUGUCGUCAGCUCGUGUUGUGAAAUGUUGGGUUAAGUCCCGCAACGAGCGCAACCCUUAUCCUUGUUUGCCAGCGAGUAAUGUCGGGAACUCCAGGGAGACUGCCGGUGAUAAACCGGAGGAAGGUGGGGACGACGUCAAGUCAUCAUGGCCCUUACGAGUAGGGCUACACACGUGCUACAAUGGCGCAUACAGAGGGCGGCCAACUUGCGAAAGUGAGCGAAUCCCAAAAAGUGCGUCGUAGUCCGGAUUGGAGUCUGCAACUCGACUCCAUGAAGUCGGAAUCGCUAGUAAUCGUGGAUCAGAAUGCCACGGUGAAUACGUUCCCGGGCCUUGUACACACCGCCCGUCACACCAUGGGAGUGGGCUGCA
Molecule: ribosomal RNA, 1365 nt
Filed under: Vibrio parahaemolyticus
Lineage: Bacteria; Pseudomonadati; Pseudomonadota; Gammaproteobacteria; Vibrionales; Vibrionaceae
Description: bacterial SSU rRNA
Rfam family: Bacterial small subunit ribosomal RNA
Source: RNAcentral